UGAGGUUUGCGGCCUCUGGCUUCUAAAGGG
Molecule: non-coding RNA, 30 nt
Filed under: Homo sapiens (human)
Lineage: Eukaryota; Metazoa; Chordata; Mammalia; Primates; Hominidae
Source: RNAcentral